GAUGAACGCUGGCGGCGUGCCUAAUACAUGCAAGUCGAGCGAACAGACGAGGAGCUUGCUCCUCUGACGUUAGCGGCGGACGGGUGAGUAACACGUGGAUAACCUACCUAUAAGACUGGGAUAACUUCGGGAAACCGGAGCUAAUACCGGAUAAUAUAUUGAACCGCAUGGUUCAAUAGUGAAAGACGGUUUUGCUGUCACUUAUAGAUGGAUCCGCGCCGCAUUAGCUAGUUGGUAAGGUAACGGCUUACCAAGGCAACGAUGCGUAGCCGACCUGAGAGCAUGAUCGGCCACACUGGAAGUGAGACACGGUCCAGACUCCUACGGGAGGCAGCAGUAGGGAAUCUUCCGCAAAGGGCGAGAGCUUGACGGAGCAACGCCGCUUGAGUGAUGAAGGUCUUCGGAUCGUAAAACUCUGUUAUUAGGGAAGAACAAAUGUGUAAGUAACUAUGCACGUCUUGACGGUACCUAAUCAGAAAGCCACGGCUAACUACGUG
Molecule: ribosomal RNA, 497 nt
Filed under: uncultured bacterium
Lineage: Bacteria
Description: partial 16S ribosomal RNA
Rfam family: Bacterial small subunit ribosomal RNA
Source: RNAcentral